ACGGGUCUAUACAUGCAGUCGAGCGGACAGAUGGGAGCUUGACAUCCCUGAUGUUAGCGGCGGACGGGUGAGUAACACGUGGGUAACCUGCCUGUAAGACUGGGAUAACUCCGGGAAACCGGGGCUAAUACCGGAUGGUUGUUUGAACCGCAUGGUUCAGACAUAAAAGGUGGCUUCGGCUACCACUUACAGAUGGACCCGCGGCGCAUUAGCUAGUUGGUGAGGUAACGGCUCACCAAGGCGACGAUGCGUAGCCGACCUGAGAGGGUGAUCGGCCACACUGGGACUGAGACACGGCCCAGACUCCUACGGGAGGCAGCAGUAGGGAAUCUUCCGCAAUGGACGAAAGUCUGACGGAGCAACGCCGCGUGAGUGAUGAAGGUUUUCGGAUCGUAAAGCUCUGUUGUUAGGGAAGAACAAGUGCCGUUCAAAUAGGGCGGCACCUUGACGGUACCUAACCAGAAAGCCACGGCUAACUACGUGCCAGCAGCCGCGGUAAUACGUAGGUGGCAAGCGUUGUCCGGAAUUAUUGGGCGUAAAGGGCUCGCAGGCGGUUUCUUAAGUCUGAUGUGAAAGCCCCCGGCUCAACCGGGGAGGGUCAUUGGAAACUGGGGAACUUGAGUGCAGAAGAGGAGAGUGGAAUUCCACGUGUAGCGGUGAAAUGCGUAGAGAUGUGGAGGAACACCAGUGGCGAAGGCGACUCUCUGGUCUGUAACUGACGCUGAGGAGCGAAAGCGUGGGGAGCGAACAGGAUUAGAUACCCCUGGUAGUCCACGCCGUAAACGAUGAGUGUAAGUGGUUUAAGGGGGUUUCCGCCCCUUAGUGCUGCAGCUAACGCAUUAAGCACUCCGCCUGGGGGAAGUACGGUCCGCAAGACUGAAACUCAAAGGAAAUUGGACGGGGGCCCGCACAAGCGGGGGAGGGAUGGGGGGUUUAAAUUCGAAGCAACGCGAAGAACCUUAACCAGGUCUUGACAUCCUCUGACAUCCUAGAGGAAUAGGACGUCCCCCUUCGGGGGGCAAAGGGGACAAGGG
RNAcentral lists this ribosomal RNA (1034 nucleotides) under Bacillus sp. (in: firmicutes). RNAcentral describes it as "bacterial SSU rRNA". It matches the Rfam family "Bacterial small subunit ribosomal RNA", at positions 42 to 1040 of the family's 1533-position model. Lineage: Bacteria; Bacillati; Bacillota; Bacilli; Caryophanales; Bacillaceae. The record is from RNAcentral.